GAUGAACGCUGGCGGCGUGCUUAACACAUGCAAGUCGAACGAAGCACUUUAUUUGAUUUCCUUCGGGACUGAUUAUUUUGUGACUGAGUGGCGGACGGGUGAGUAACGCGUGGGUAACCUGCCUUGUACAGGGGGAUAACAGUUGGAAACGGCUGCUAAUACCGCAUAAGCGCACGGCAUCGCAUGAUGCAGUGUGAAAAACUCCGGUGGUAUAAGAUGGACCCGCGUUGGAUUAGCUAGUUGGUGAGGUAACGGCCCACCAAGGCGACGAUCCAUAGCCGACCUGAGAGGGUGACCGGCCACAUUGGGACUGAGACACGGCCCAAACUCCUACGGGAGGCAGCAGUGGGGAAUAUUGCACAAUGGGCGAAAGCCUGAUGCAGCGACGCCGCGUGAGCGAAGAAGUAUUUCGGUAUGUAAAGCUCUAUCAGCAGGGAAGAUAAUGACGGUAC
This 452-nucleotide ribosomal RNA is filed under the name uncultured bacterium. Its description in RNAcentral is "bacterial SSU rRNA". It matches the Rfam family "Bacterial small subunit ribosomal RNA", at positions 28 to 478 of the family's 1533-position model. The record is from RNAcentral.